RNAcentral lists this ribosomal RNA (353 nucleotides) under uncultured soil bacterium. Its description in RNAcentral is "bacterial SSU rRNA". It matches the Rfam family "Bacterial small subunit ribosomal RNA", at positions 512 to 863 of the family's 1533-position model. The record is from RNAcentral.
CAGCCGCGGUAAUACAGAGGUCUCGAGCGUUGUUCGGAUUCAUUGGGCGUAAAGGGCGCGUAGGCGUCGGGGUAAGUCUGGUGUGAAAUCUAGGAGCUCAACUCCUAAACUGCACUGGAUACUGCUCUGCUAGAGGACUGGAGAGGAGACUGGAAUUCACGGUGUAGCAGUGAAAUGCGUAGAUAUCGUGAGGAAGACCAGUGGCGAAGGCGGGUCUCUGGACAGUUCCUGACGCUGAGGCGCGAAGGCCAGGGGAGCAAACGGGAUUAGAUACCCCGGUAGUCCUGGCAGUAAACGGUGCACGUUUGGUGUGCGCGGAUUCGACCCCGUGCGUGCCGGAGCUAACGCGUUAA